GAAAUGCAGUAAUAGCUGGACGUAUCAGGGAAAAUGGGAAAACUGGUAUCAUUGAUCUUGCCAUCCACCGUCAACCUGCUGUUGCAAUUAAUGGUUAGUUCGGCUGUUGAAUAGUACAUCUUUCACACAUUUACUACAAGGUCUCGUUUCUUUCAUUACGGUUGCCGUACAGUCUCUAUACAUAUGAGCAAGCCGUCCUUGCCUUGCGUCGUCCACUCGUAAGCCCUUCGGCAGCGCGAGAAUAAUGACAGUAGAAGCUUUGUCUAUCACUGUCGUACUCAAUCUUUAUUCUAUGCUUGCAUUUUAUACACGAUUUCUACUGUCCCUUUCUCUUUCUACGUCUUCUUGCCUCUUCCCCGGAAUGUACCCUCUUUUGUUGAAAACAAACAUUCCCUCUCCCUUUUUGAAUUUGGCGCGCACAAUGAAAUUCUAGUGCGGCAAGACGGCCUGGCCAGCCUUGCACGUCGUAGCUACGGGACAUAGCUGAUAGCGGCACAGCGAGCAUCGAUAUAUCGCUUCUCCAUAUUGCGUCUUUACUGUGCUCAUUCGAAGCUAGACUAAACUGAAUUGAAUCGGUUGAUUGAGAUUGUCUGCGGCUUACCCUCGACGGGGAGUAAGGGUUAUGCGGAAGGGGGGGAGAGGUGGCUGGGUGACUAGCUGGCAAGCCACCUUCUUUUUCUAACGGACGUUGCAGUGUGGUGUAUUGCCUAAAGAGACGGAGAGUACACUGUUUCAGGCACUCCCGAAGGCCAGGCUGGGGUGGCCUGUGCGCAAAAGACCAACCGGCCGGCCGGCCGCUUCUAUCAGGCUAAGGUGCCGAUCCCUUCCUCCUUUCGGGCGAGGAGUGCAUGGUGCCGCUGCUGCUCCUGGGCCUUGGCAGCAGCAGCAGCAGCAGAAAUUGCAGCCGCAGUUGCCGCUAGUCCUGCUGUUUGCCACUACCAUCCGUCCGAGUCGAGACGUCUUUACAGAAAACGAGCGCUGCCGAGAAGACACAGAGUGUAGCUACUUCCAGUGUCGUCGCUACCCCCUGCAGUCUAAAGAGCCUUUGAGAACGCUUCAACAAGUGUCCACCCCACAAAAAAGUGCUGCUACGGCAACUUCGGUUGUUCACUGAUUCGUAGGGUUUAUCGUGCAAUUGGGUGGCGGCGACGGAUGAAACGAAUCAUUAAAGGUAGAAAGCGUAGAAGAAGAACGAAAAUAAAGGCUGAAUAAAGAAACGAGUCAGUCAGGCGGCGUUUUAGCAAGAGCUUUGCGAUUUACUGCUGAAAUUGCAUCAAUAACCUCUGAAGAUCAAAGAAAGAGUGGGCGCUUGAUAAGACUCAAGGAGUCGAGUGGCGCGUAUCGUUGUUAAGAGGUCGUAUGUGCAAUUCACGUUAGAUACUGUUCGUAUUAUGCUAGAUAAACAUUUUCACACCGUCGGAGAGAAGGAAUCGCUGUGUGAUCGUCGCCGUAUCUAUAGAAAAAAAAGUUAAACGAAGUGGUGCUUUUUAGUCGCCAUUCACACGCCAAAGUAGAUUCCGUCAUUUUGCAGUCUUGAGGUCGGGUGCAUUAGCCGAGCGUAAACAGUUGGCAACAUUGUCGCAAGUAUUUAAAUUGAUUCAUUUAAACUCUGACAAUAAUGCGACACUUCGUGAUAUCAGUUCUAUUGAUAUUUACUGGCGCAGUAUCUCAAGAUCACUUUAGUCUCUGGGUUCUCUAUACAUCGUAAGUAUAUAUUGAAGUGGGCACUGUCACCAAUCAAUUCGUCGGCCGUUAAUGAAUCAGCGAGCCAUUAACAGUUGUACUUCGCACAAAAACACCAAGGCCAAAGCUGCUUGGCUCGCGAUAUGCUUCUACAUACACAAAAAACAGUCAUAGGCAAGUACGUUAUUACAAAUUAUCCCAUGCACCGCAUGUUUCCAUUUGACCAGACGUACAGAGGCAGAGUUUAGGAGGGAAUCACCACGUACGAGUGUUCGUUAGCGAUUGCCAUAAGGGCCUGAAUCGGACAGGUCUGGCCAUCUGUUGAUAUGGAAAACGAGUAACUUCCAUGGCAGCAAUAGUAAGUGAUACUGCUUUUAAUAACAGAAACUCGUUACCAAGUGGGAACGUGUCACAUUUGCAUUUCCACUUUGAAACAUACCAACAAGUUGGAACAAGCCGAGAUAGUGCUGUCUAGAAAUAGUAAGCGUCUUUUGAUGAAAAAAUAAAGUCCAGUUCCGAUCGGUAGAUAAAUAACGGUGGUUGUUGGUACAUGCGUCCUUGUGUUAGAUCGAGUAAAUGGUGACGUUUUGGAGUCUCGAUUCAAAAGCGCACUUCUAUUAAUCGGUGCUUUAUUGAAACAAGUCCUGGCGUUUCCCACUUCGAAUGCACUGUGAGAUCAGGAAAGCCGGCAAUCACAUUGGUCAGCCAUGCAAUACAGAAAGUUUCGUGUUUAAUUGGUCGUGCAUUUUAUAACGCGGAGACCCGUCCUGCGGCGUCGAGAACGAUCGCGUCGAAGUGAAACCAAAAACGCCCCGUCAUCACCCGCUGACGUGAAAUUUGCUUUGAGGCAAACGUUAUAGGCCGAUCCAGCCAGCUGUGCUUAAAGCGCGACAUCAGCUUAGCGAUUGGUUUUCUCCAGACGUGUAAUCAGUGUACAGAUUCGUGCUGUUGCUUUUCGGUAAAAAUUUUCAGAGAGCGAAAGGGAAGGGCAGCAUUGUAUCAUCCGGCACUUAUCUGAAGUGCAGCGUCGGCGUAGCGCCAAUUACGAUGAAGACGACGACGGCGGCGGCAUCAACCACAAAUGCGUGCUACCAGUAACGGCAGUCGUAACCUCAGUCGUUAUCGAGGUGCGCCGGUGGAUACGUAGUAAACAUCAAAGUAUUGUUUACAGAAUUAGUAGCGACAGUAAAAAAUCAAGCCAUUCAUAUUGUCUAUGCAAAAGGAAGUUGGCACCGUUUAAGGAUACAUAUACCGUAAUCUAUGUAUGACUAAAGAUUCUACUAAACUCCUCGUUUGAUAUUAAUGUGUGAUUAAUUGGAUCAAGCGGAAGUUUUUAUCAGCGCUCAUUGAAGCCGGAUUGUUAUUUUGGAUCGUGCGCGCUUUAACGUCGCCUGAGGUUACACGCCAGCGGCGGUAGCUGAGUAAUUGAUCCUGUGUAGUGGGGACUCCGCGCGCGUUAUCUCGAAAAAUUGUCAACAGUACUUGUGAUAAUCACGAAUUUUGGCGGCCAACAAACAUCACACAACUGUAACAACGCCAACAUCAUCAACAGGUCUUCACGUAAGCACGGAUCCGACAUAGGAACGCCAUCGCGAUGAAACGCUUUGGACAUCACAACGAUAACCAUCACAAUAAUCAUCACGACAAUGCCAUCCAUAAGGAAUUUCCAGAACAGGCAAAUAUUGAGAGUCCUCAGGAUGACGUCGUUGCUGAUCUACCGUGCAGUCCAGCAGUGGUUCGUAAGUCGAAAUUUCCGUACAACCCAUUACGGGGUGCAAGACACUCGUUUUCUAUCGAUUACGGUGAUGUCCUUCCUGUGCACAGAGGAAACAGAAAACCACAUGCGGCUUUAACGGGUGCUCCCAUGGGAAGGACACCGAGCAACGGGCAGCCAGACAAAGCGCAAUAUCGGGUGGUGUUUUUGGGAGCUGCCAAGGUUGGCAAAUCGGCCAUCAUUCAUCAGUUUCUCUAUGAGAAGUUCCUGCACGACUAUAGCGCCACUGUCGAGGAGUUCCACAGGGGCGAAUACGACGUGGGCCUGGAAAGCAAAGUCUCUCUCGACAUACUCGACACGGGAGGCAGCUGCGAAUUUCCUGCAAUGAAAAGACUUGCCAUAGGCUCAGGCGACGCCUUUGUGCUGGUAUAUUCUGUAGACAACGAAAGCUCAUAUGACGCGGUCCGGACACUUCGAGAUGACAUUUUACAACUGAGGCAAGGGGAUAAAACGCCUCCUCCAAUAGUCGUUGUGGCCAACAAGACCGAUCUCCCGAGCGGCCAGCACGUCGAAAGUGUGGCGCCUUCGAUGGUGGAACCCGUUGUCUGCUUGGACUGGGAACACGCGUUCGUCGAGUGCUCAGCUAAAGAUAAUGCUGAUGUUGUCAGGGUCUUUCAGGAGUUGCUGGUACUUUCUCCCUUAAAGAAACAGACACCGCCUGCACGUCAAGCAGGUUUUCGUCGAAUGUCUCUUCCAGUCACAUCGCUGUCAGACCAGCUCGGAUCGCUAGGUCUGACGAAAAGUCCCGGCCAUAAAAAGAAACGUGACAGUUGUCACGUCUCGUAAACGUGCCGCUAACGAAUAUGGGUAUCUUUGUAUACAAUGAUUCUCAUCCUAUUUAAAGAGCCUAAACGUUUUGAAUGUUGGAUGUAGGAUAGACCGUAAAGUCAAUAGCGAGAUACAAAAGAAUACGGUAAGAAUAACGAGUAAAUAGUAAAAGCAGAAACCUCAUCAAGCGACGUUCAACGUCAAUCUUCAAUGUAUGUUCGUUUUCAACAGACGGAAGUCGUUGAGUGCGGAUGGAAAUGUUGAAGAAAAAUGAGUAGGCUUAAGUACCCAUUAAGCUUUCCAUUAAAAGACGAUCGACCUGUAACAUUGUACAAUUAUGCACUUUGUUAGCGUCGAUGAUGGCGAAGUUGAUCUCGAAGAUGGAAAGCGACAUCAAUGAAUGACAUCAAUAAUUAAUAACAGUGACAAGUAGAUGAUGUAAGUAGAGAUACAAACAAUGGAAAUGAUCAUAGAUAAUAACAGUAAUAAUAACAAUACAUAAGGAAAUAGAGGAAUAGAGAAACAUCCAGCACUACACCUUCAACCAAAACUAUCUAUUGCUGACAAUGCAAGAAUUCACGCACGGGUCCUUAAAAGGAUCCAUUUUUUUGGAAAAAGAUACUUGCUACUAUCGAUAACCAAGCCAUCUGUCGCGAUUUUCCAACGCUUAUGUAGGCCGCUCAAGUAGUAUGAAAAAAGCCAUAAAAAAAUAAAUACUUAGCCACUAAUGUUAUGCCUUUGUCAAGCUUGUCAUGCCUAUGAAGGCCGUGCACGUCUCCCGGCCAGAAUCUCUAUUUAGAGACGAGAAUGAAGUAAGUCAACGUCAUUAUGUCGUAACGACUUAGCCAAGCUUACCAUGCAUAUACACAAAGGUACGUUACGUUACAAAUACUGCUAAACCCGUCAUUGAAUCAAUUAACAAUAACCAACCAGUGAACCUAUAAAGCUGAGCCACCCUUGCUACCCGCCUAAUGGAUUUAUCGCCGUUCAUCAGCAAUGUACACAGACAUAUACGAUGAAGCGUCGCGAUAGAACUCAAGACGGAUAAUCCAGCCAGUCACUGAUAAUCUCCUGACCUCUCACCAACGCGAAGACACGCACGUAGAAGGGUGACCACCAAUGACAGCAAUUAAAGGAAACCUUACCAGUAUGAUUUCCGUUUCAAAAUCCGAAACAGCUUAACAGAUGGUAGCCUGGAUAUUCGUUAUAAUCAUUGGUAACGUGGGACUCCACAAGGUAAUUGUUAACGCUUCUCAAUCAACCUACGAAAGGUCCUGUAAAAAAAAAAUGGCAAGAAUCAUAUAACCGAGUUUUUUUGUUGCAUUUUUUUAAUGUGAUAACUUAAGUAGUCAAUUUCAUAAAAGUGAAGAACGCUGUCUUCCCAGUUGCUAAUCAGCUGCUACAGUUAUUUUGUAGCACUAUGUAAAAAAUUUUUGCUUAACACCAAUAGUCGCCUGUCGCCCGUUUAUGUAUUGUAAUGGCCUGUAACAGCUUAUAUAACCAAACAGUAGAGGCUCGCAGAGACAGCCAAGCUGGUGGUAGCGCCGCAAAGCUGCCCUUAACCCGCAACACCAGGUAGCGCAUAGUUGUGAAGCCUUUCCGUAGCAGUUCAAUACCUUUGAAAGUACUUUUUGAAGAAAAGCUCCUUAACUUCAAACAAAUGUCACUGUUUCUUGUCGACAAACCUUCACAAUUUGAGGAACCUUCGGAGACUUUCGCACUCUUGCUGAUUGUUUAUAGACCUGGCGGGUCCUAUAGGCGUGUCUCGUAAAUUACUACAUAGUCGUUCACGGUACGCCUUUGAGGACUUAAUGAGAAGCUUAAGUGCAGCCGAAAUCUGGGUCGUUUCGUUAUAUAUAGUGUUAACUAAAUAGUUAUCGAACAGAUACGUAUUGGCGCGGGAUUGAAGAAGCAAGGGCAUAAACACAACAGCCGUCUCUGCCGAAGUUGUCCGUUGACUACGAGUCUCAUGGAAGCUCCCAGAAAAAUGAUCACAACACUAGUAACAAUUAUUAGGAUAAACAAUACUGCUUUACACGAACGAAAUACUACGAUUACAUUUAUGUGCAUCGUUUUAUUACAUCGGUAACAAAUUGCAUAUGGCCUAUAAUAAAUUUCCGAAACAAGAAACGUCCAUGUAAACGUUUCUAACCGACAUCGUAUGCAAUAAACAGUAGAGUUUCUUCCGCCACUGAAGCUGUCCAAAAAAAAAAAUCAAAUUUUAAAUUUCCAUUUAUCUAUGUACGCCAUAUAUAUAUAUACAUGUAUGGCGAGAGAGGUAAAAAACAGAAGAGGUUACUAUGAAGCAGAGAAAAAAAAGCAGCUGAUAUGAAUGACUUGCAUAAUAACUCUGAAGUCACGUUCGUAUGCCGGUAACGAUCAGGUUCGUUUGUAAAAAUCGCAAACCUUAUGAUGACAAGGGCGACGCUUAUAAUAGUGAAUAGAAUAGUGAUUUUGGCAGUGAAUAGCGGCGAUAUGUGUAUAUGCUUUAUAUAUGCAUAUAGCCUUUGAUCUAUAGGCAUUAAUGGACAAGCGAAAGUCGUACAGCCUGACCCAUUGCCCGCUCACGGGCGCAGGACCGGGGAGACUAAACCCGUGUCCGACGCCCCUUUUAUUUCCACGUUGCUUGUCCGUUAUGACACUGAGUGCUUGGAUUAGCAAAGUGGUUAUUAGUAUUAUUAUACUUCUUGAUUAUCGUGUGGAAUGAUUAUGUCAGCGGUGAUCUGUAUUCAUAUUAACAAACUCGUAUUAUUACUUCAAGUAAAUGGAAUUGGUUAUGGACUCGAUUGCAGCCUGUUGCUGAUGUUGCUAUGGCAAUAAACUCUUUUACA
Varroa destructor (honeybee mite) is the source of this 7056-nucleotide non-coding RNA. NCBI's taxonomy places the organism in Eukaryota, Metazoa, Arthropoda, Arachnida, Mesostigmata, Varroidae. The record is from RefSeq and is a predicted model, not a curated record.